RNAcentral lists this small nucleolar RNA (109 nucleotides) under Olea europaea subsp. europaea. Its description in RNAcentral is "Plant small nucleolar RNA R71". It matches the Rfam family "Plant small nucleolar RNA R71". From Rfam's summary of the family: R71 is a member of the C/D box family of snoRNAs containing the C (UGAUGA) and D (CUGA) box motifs. Lineage: Eukaryota; Viridiplantae; Streptophyta; Magnoliopsida; Lamiales; Oleaceae. The record is from Rfam by way of RNAcentral.
AUCUAGUGAUUUGGACAUUUUUUGAGUAGUUUCUUAAAUCUGCCCCAUGCCUCAUGAUAGCUUUCUUCAUCAAGUUGCUGGAAAAGAGAGCCUUUUAGCUCUUUUAGCU